Molecule: long non-coding RNA, 538 nt
Organism: Musa acuminata AAA Group (dessert banana)
Lineage: Eukaryota; Viridiplantae; Streptophyta; Magnoliopsida; Zingiberales; Musaceae
Exons: 2
Source: RefSeq, a predicted model, not a curated record
GAUGCAUCUCUUCGUUGAGCGAUCGAGACAGCGCGACGGAGAUCGUCCGACGAGAGGGCAAUUCCAUCGCCUCAAAUGGAGCUUCCACUAAUUCGAUCUCUUUCAAGAAACAAGAAAGAAGAACGUUGAUUGCCCUAGUUCGAUCUUAGGAUCCAUCUUUCUCCUUUCGCAGCUCGGUUGUGACCACCAAAUCCCUCGCGGCGCCCGUCAAAUCAGCCAUCGACAAGAUCCAGCUCCGCGCCGCCUUCUUGGGGGUGCGAGGGCUGGUGAAGCAACCCAUCGAUUCUUUUCAUUACUUCGUCAACCAUGAAAUCAAGAACAUGAAAGCCAUCGAUCUCCUCGUCUGCCGUCAUGAGCCCAGCUUCUAUCACAGCAAAACACACGACGUAACUCUUAAAACACUUAGUUCUUUGAUUUUCUUUGGUUUUUAACGAAUCGAUCAAUUUUUUCUUCUCUUUUUUCUUAUAUUGUGGAUUUUUUUUAUUUACGUUCACCGACAUUGAAUUCGGAGAGCCUUCAGAAGGUGUGGAUUUCUCCA